Molecule: unclassified non-coding RNA, 266 nt
Filed under: Glomus sp.
Lineage: Eukaryota; Fungi; Glomeromycota; Glomeromycetes; Glomerales; Glomeraceae
Description: partial internal transcribed spacer 2
Source: RNAcentral
GUGAAUCAUCGAAUUUUUGAACGCAAAUUGCACUCUCCUCGGAGAGAAUGCGUGUUUGUGUUUCAGCCUAUAAAAAAUCGACAUCGUUGGUUUUGCGCGGUGACGUUCUGCGUUAAUUGGGUCAUCUUAAUUCCUUUUGGUUUUAAGCGACUUAAAAUUUUCUUUUUGGUUCCAUGAACGUUUCUAAGAUUUAUUUCUUUACACGUGUAAGGGUAUCGAUUUUUAUUAGACUUUACCAUCAUAUCCUAUGGCGUGCUUAGUCUUCC